RNAcentral lists this ribosomal RNA (695 nucleotides) under uncultured bacterium. Its description in RNAcentral is "bacterial SSU rRNA". It matches the Rfam family "Bacterial small subunit ribosomal RNA", at positions 8 to 677 of the family's 1533-position model. The record is from RNAcentral.
AGAGUUUGAUCAUGGCUCAGAACGAACGCUGGCGGCGUGCUUAACACAUGCAAGUCGAGCGAGAAAGGGGGGGCAACCCCCUGAGUAGAGCGGCGCACGGGUGAGUAACGCGUGGGUAACCUACCCCCAGGCGGGGGAUAACUACUCGAAAGGGUGGCUAAUACCGCAUGAGACCACGGGAUCUUCGGAUCCUGAGGCUAAAGAUCGCACCGGCUUGCCGGUGCUGUCACCAGGGGAUGGGCCCGCGUCCGAUUAGCUAGUUGGCGAGGUAAUGGCUCACCAAGGCUACGAUCGGUAGCUGGUCUGAGAGGAUGAUCAGCCACACUGGAACUGGAACACGGUCCAGACUCCUACGGGAGGCAGCAGUGAGGAAUAUUGCGCAAUGGGGGAAACCCUGACGCAGCAACGCCGCGUGGGUGAAGAAGGCCUUCGGGUCGUAAAGCCCUUUCGGACGGGACGAACGCUCCGCGGUGAAAGCCGCGGAGUCUGACGGUACCGUAGGAAGAAGCACCGGCUAACUCCGUGCCAGCAGCCGCGGUAAUACGGAGGGUGCGAGCGUUGUUCGGAAUUACUGGGCGUAAAGCGCGUGUAGGCGGCCUUGCAAGUCAGGCGUGAAAGCCCUCGGCUUAACCGGGGAAGUGCGUCUGAAACUGCUUGGCUUGAGUACGGGAGAGGGAGGCGGAAUUCCCAGUGUA